AGUGGGUGUUUUUGCUGGAGACUGGCUGCAGCUUCCCAGGGAGCCGCCCCGGACCGCCCCUCCGUCCAGCCUCUUCCUUCGGACCCUUAGGAGAUCCACAGUAAGAAGGGCCUCCUCCACUUCCCUCCAUCCCAGAGAGCAAGCGGAACCUGCCAAGUGCUCGUAAAGUUUCUUCAGGCAGGAGCCAUUACAGCAGAAUGGAUCCCAAGGAAGAAAAAGUGAAAAUAAUUACAGAGGACUCACUCGCUGGAGACCACAGAGGCAGAAGGAGAUAGUAAGCUGUUUCCAAGAGCAAUUCAAGAAGCCUGAAGGAACACCAGAUAAAACCACAUCCAAACACCAGAUAAGACCACAUCAAAACUCCAGAUAAAACCACAUCAUGCUACAUUUGCUUAUGGCUUAUUCACUCAUGCAGCAAAUAUGUACUGUUCCUCUGGUCCCUGGGGAUGCAGCGGUGAAUAAAACCCUGUGCCCUCAUGGAGUUUACAUUCUGUGUAACUUGAAGUCCUACUGGGCUGCUCUUCAUUGAUGAAGGAUCAAAUCAUGAUUGAGAAGCCAAAAAGAACCUAGACUUCCCAUAAGUCCAUUGUAAGCCAAUAAGAACUUAGACUUGUCUUGCCCUGGCCGGUGCUGCUCAGAGGUAAGAGCAUUGGCCUGCACACUGAAGGGUUACAGUUCGCUCCCCACGUGUAGGAAGGAGCUGGAGGCAACCAGUCAAUGUGGUUUUUUACAUCAAUGUUUCUCUCUCUUUCUCUCUCACCUGUUUCCUCCCUCACUUCCACUCUCUAAUAAAGCAAUGGGAAAAUAUAGGCUCAGGUGACAAUUAACAAAAAAACUUAGGCUUAUUUUAAGGACCAUGCUUGCACACCUCAAUGAUAUCAGCAUUGUGUAUCUAAGUUGGUGACUUUUUGAGCUAAGAGCGCUACCUACCUGGUGGGCACCUGAAGCACAAAGUCUAAGUGCACCCAGAGUAUGAGUCAGAGAAGAGAGAUCCGUUGUGUGGACUAAGGAAAAGCCGGCACCACACCCAUCCCCUGGUUGGGACCUCUGACCUCUUCUAUAAUCAAGUUCCUGUCUUCUCUACCCCAAACAGCCAAGGGCACUGAUGUGUAACUGGAACCCAGCCCAGCAACCUCAUGGCAUUCCUUUGAACUCUUC
Molecule: long non-coding RNA, 1158 nt
Organism: Myotis myotis
Lineage: Eukaryota; Metazoa; Chordata; Mammalia; Chiroptera; Vespertilionidae
Exons: 3
Source: RefSeq, a predicted model, not a curated record